Molecule: ribosomal RNA, 739 nt
Filed under: uncultured Corynebacterium sp.
Lineage: Bacteria; Bacillati; Actinomycetota; Actinomycetes; Mycobacteriales; Corynebacteriaceae
Description: bacterial SSU rRNA
Rfam family: Bacterial small subunit ribosomal RNA
Source: RNAcentral
GACGAACGCUGGCGGCGUGCUUAACACAUGCAAGUCGAACGGAAAGGCCCUGCUUGCAGGGUGCUCGAGUGGCGAACGGGUGAGUAACACGUGGGUGAUCUGCCCCUUACUUUGGGAUAAGCCUGGGAAACUGGGUCUAAUACUGGAUAGGACCAUGCUGUAGGUGGUGUGGUGGAAAGAUUAGUUUCGGUAAGGGAUGAGCUCGCGGCCUAUCAGCUUGUUGGUGGGGUAAUGGCCUACCAAGGCGUCGACGGGUAGCCGGCCUGAGAGGGUGGACGGCCACAUUGGGACUGAGAUACGGCCCAGACUCCUACGGGAGGCAGCAGUGGGGAAUAUUGCACAAUGGGCGCAAGCCUGAUGCAGCGACGCCGCGUGGGGGAUGACGGCCUUCGGGUUGUAAACUCCUUUCAGCCAUGACGAAGCCCUUGUGGUGACGGUAGUGGUAGAAGAAGCACCGGCUAACUACGUGCCAGCAGCCGCGGUAAUACGUAGGGUGCGAGCGUUGUCCGGAAUUACUGGGCGUAAAGAGCUCGUAGGUGGUCUGUCGCGUCAUUUGUGAAAGCCCGGGGCUUAACUCCGGGUUGGCAGGUGAUACAGGCAUGACUGGAGUACUGUAGGGGAGACUGGAAUUCCUGGUGUAGCGGUGAAAUGCGCAGAUAUCAGGAGGAACACCGGUGGCGAAGGCGGGUCUCUGGGCAGUAACUGACGCUGAGGAGCGAAAGCAUGGGUAGCGAACAGG